UACAUUGAAAAGAUUUUUGUGCAAAUCAUUAUAAGUUGAACAAUUUUUAUUUAUUAAUUUUAUUGUUUUCGUUUCGGACUACCAAAAAUAAUUUUAUAGGUUUAAGUUUUAGUAUUGUAUAAAGAAACAAUGAUUUUUAUAAUAGAUAAUUAGUAUUGUGAAAGAACAUUGAAAUAGUUGAAAAAUUUUUGUGGAAAAAGAAAACUUUGUUUGUUGUACCUUGUGUAUCAGGGUUGUUUAAUUGAAAAAUAAAAAUAUAUUUUUCCCGAUUUCAAAAGAGUUAAAAAAAUAUAAAAGUUAUUGUAGCAAAACUAUUUUUCAUAUUUUAUUGGAGACGAGACGUCAUUCGUUUUUGAAGGUAUCUGGUUAUUCUAGAAAUAAAUUUAACUUACAACAACUUAAUUUUACAGAUUAUUGACAUCUGUCCUUUUAUUGUGUUGAAUAACCUAGGGGAUAAGCUUUAGGUUAGAAUAUCAAAAGAAAUGAUUAAUUUUUAAAAAGUAUGCUUAGAAUUAGCAAUCUUUAACAAGUUUGUUAUAAAUUAUUUAUUUAAAAAAUUUUUUACUUUUCUUUGAGUUUUUAUAGAAUAGAUCUGAUUAAUUAUAAAUGAGAUGUAAUUAUGAACAAAUUAGUAUAUAAUAUUGUAUAAUUAAAUUGCUUUGAAAAGUUUUAGUAAAGAACUCGGCAAAACUAAUAUUCGCCUGUUUAACAAAAACAUGUCUUUUUGUAUUAAAUAUAAAGUCUAACCUGCCCACUGAGAUUUGAAUGGCCGCAGUACACUAACUGUGCAAAGGUAGCAUAAUAAUUAGUCUUUUAAUUGAAGGCUGGAAUGAAUGGUUGGACGAAAUAUUAACUGUUUCAUUAAAAAUUUUUAUAGAAUUUUAUUUUUUAGUCAAAAAGCUAAAAUUAUAUUAAAAGACGAGAAGACCCUAUAAAGCUUUAUAACUAAUUCAAAUUGAACUAUUUAGAGUGUUAAAGUUUUCUUUCUGUUAGUUAUUUUAUUGGGGUGAUAUUGAAAUUUGAAAAACUUUCAUUUGUUUAACCAUUGAUAUAUGACCUAUUGAUCCAUUUUAAUGAUUAUAAAUUUAAGUUACUUUAGGGAUAACAGCGUAAUUUUUUUGGAGAGUUCAUAUCGAUAAAAAAGAUUGCGACCUCGAUGUUGGAUUAAGGAAUAAGUUUAGGCGCAGCCGUUUAAAUAGUAA
Molecule: ribosomal RNA, 1202 nt
Filed under: Trypetoptera punctulata
Lineage: Eukaryota; Metazoa; Arthropoda; Insecta; Diptera; Sciomyzidae
Description: 16S ribosomal RNA
Rfam family: Bacterial large subunit ribosomal RNA (bases 687-852)
Source: RNAcentral